This 499-nucleotide ribosomal RNA is filed under the name uncultured eukaryote. Its description in RNAcentral is "SSU rRNA". It matches the Rfam family "Eukaryotic small subunit ribosomal RNA", at positions 457 to 978 of the family's 1831-position model. The record is from RNAcentral.
CGGGGAGGCAGUGACAAGAAAUAACAACUCUAGGAUUUCUUAGAAGUGUAAUGAGGAUAAUUUACAAACCUUACCGAAUGCAAUUGGAGGGCAAGUCUGGUGCCAGCAGCCGCGGUAAUUCCAGCUCCAAUAGCGUAUAUUAAAGUUGUUGCAGUUAAAAAGCUCGUAGUUGAAGUUCUGAUUGCUCAGGUUUCCAGCCUUAGGCGGAGAUACUGACAGUCAUCCGCUUGCAAAACAUAUGUUCGAUCUUCACCGGUUGGCUAUGUGAGUAAGCACUUUACCUUGAGAAAAACAGAGUGUUCCAGGCAGGUUUGUCCGGGAUGCAUUAGCAUGGAAUAAUAGAACAUGACUGAAGUCGAUUUAUUGGUUUAAGGCUUUAGUAAUGAUUAAUAGGAACAGUCGGGGGCAUUCGUACUCAGCAGUCAGAGGUGAAAUUCUAAGAUUUGCUGAAGACGAACUAAAUGCGAAAAGCAUUUGCCAAAGGAUGUUUUCAUUAAUC